This 455-nucleotide long non-coding RNA is filed under the name Gopherus agassizii (Agassiz's desert tortoise). RNAcentral's name for it is "lncRNA (ENSGAGG00000002322.1)". The record is from RNAcentral. Lineage: Eukaryota; Metazoa; Chordata; Testudines; Testudinidae.
AUGAAGUUGGUAUUUUUUGUAGUCUCUCUUAACCAUGGUGUACUAUGUUAUGACUCAGUAAUUUUUGUCCCACUCUAUGGAAGCGAGAAAAAGGCUGACUUCUGAAACUAUUGGGUAGUAGCUUAGCAGAUGAAAGAAAACAAUCUCUCAUCCUAAGGAAAGAGGAGAGCUAUGGGCAGACCACACACAUCAACCACACUCUUCUCUCUCCGCUGUCUCCUCAGCCGUUCAUGUGGCAAAGGUGUUAUGUAGGCUAACACAUGCAAAGCUGUGCGCACAGUGCUUGCAAGGCAUCAGUGGGCCCAUGAAAAUGAGCUUCCCACCACUUGCUGUGCUAUGCUAGCUGGCUUGAUUUGUCGCAUUCACCAUUGAAUAAUGCUGGUGCCUGCCUAUGGAGGUAUGGUAAGUCUGUUGAGUUUUUUCCCCCUCUCUCUCCCCACAUCCCCCGACCCAUA